RNAcentral lists this long non-coding RNA (2279 nucleotides) under Vitis vinifera (wine grape). Its description in RNAcentral is "long non-coding RNA (VVIN_LNC001194)". Lineage: Eukaryota; Viridiplantae; Streptophyta; Magnoliopsida; Vitales; Vitaceae. The record is from RNAcentral.
AUCAAUCAAAGCCAAAUGAAACAUAAUGCCAAAAUGGGGCACCGCUCACAUGUACAUCCCGUACUCUUUUUGUGCAAAAACAAAAAUAAUAUAUUGGAAAGACAUUUAUAUGCACAGGGGGUAGAAAUCUCAUUUACACGUGCAUCAUAAGGAAUCAAAGGGCUCAACAAGGUAACAAGUCCCAUAGUGAACACAAACUAAAAGAUCAUGUAUAAGGCCAGAUCUAAACAACCCACAAAUACUAGAAGGGAAGAAACAUUCAAAUUUUCUUGUUCAUAAUAGCUUCAAACUUCAUACCAAACUAAACUCUCUAAGGCAGGCCUGGAAAUGCAUGCAGACGCACACAAGUACAUAGCACAUUCAGUAGAGUGCACUGGCAUGAGCCUCAAACCGUCUACGCUUUAAAGGUGUUUCAGUAUGUAACCAGGGCCACUGUAAAGCUCUCAGAUGAUUUGCAGCAAAAAAACUGGGUCCAGAAGCUGUAGCAAAUGCAAAAGUACAAAUUUGGGCAUUUUCAAUAAAUUCUACAGGUUUAUUAAGCAUUAGUUUUGACUGAAGAAUGUCUUAGCAUGAAACAGACUCCUCUGGAUUAUCACUAAACCUAAAUUAUAAUAUUUAUGAUACUCAUCUGUACAGAUCCAGAGCCUGAACCUGUAUCAUGAAUAUUGGAAAAAGAGCAAAGACAACAAUUAUUAUUAUUUUUGGUGGUUUUAUUAAUAAAAACAGAAAUUCCCUUCAUUCAAAAUUAAGUGAUGGAUGGAAGGAUGAGAGCCAAAAACCUAUGUAUCAGUUCUACCAGGAAACCAAAACAAGAGACAGCAAGAUUACAUGAGAAUUUCUUGGAUGCUAGAGGGAGCUAUGGGACUAAACCAUAUAGAAAUAUUGAUUUACCAACGAUUUUCAUGCAAGAUGGUAUUCCAACACAUGGGACCCAAAAGUUACAAAAUAAGGAUGGUAAUCGUGCAUGCUCAGGAUGGGGCACCCUGUUCUGAUCCCAUCCUCAUGGACAAAACCCCUGCAAAACUUAUCCCAGUUCCAUUCCUUGUCCUGAUCCCACCUUGCAAGAUCAGUAAAGAAAACUUGUUUGGCUGAGUCAGGGGCACCACUGGACUUCAAAUAUAGCAUAUAAGCAUAUAGGGUUUGCAACAUUCUUUACUGAUAAAGAUCUGAUGAGAUCAACUGGUGGUACAAGUACCUACAGAAGAGGGAGCAGACCACAAAAAAUUUCUCCUAUAAAAUAUAAAAUGGAAUUAUUAAAAACAAUGUUGCUCGAGAUAGUGGAAAGUCUUGGAGCUGAGGUUUAGUCUUCGUGAGUAUGAGAAACAAUGUGCCACUUGAAAAACAAGUGACACACCAACUUUUUCACCAGGCAUAAGGAAUCUUAACUCCAAAACCGAACAUAUCCAAAUUGCUAGUUAACAUUGUAGCUAAUCAUUAUAAUCUCAUUGAGUCCACAGCAUAAGAAGAGCAUGAAUUUUGUUGUAAUCAUUGAGAAGCCUCUUUAUCUCCUAUAUCACUUAAGAUGAACAAGCUAUUAAAACCAAGCCAACAUGAACAAUGGAAAAGAACUUCAUCCUAACACACAAGAUGGCAAAACUUGAAAGUACUGAGAAUUCAGAUCUAUGAAAUCCACAAUUUUAGAUUGUCAUAACUAAGAGACAAGUUUUUUACUACUUUCUUUUAUCUGAAAACAAGAAUAAAUGUGAAAAAACAAAUCUCAACUGCGAAAAACCCUAAUUCACUCUGAGGAGACCAACUCAUCAGAGGCAGACUACAACACAUUGCAACCGCAGAGCAAUCUGAUAUUCUUUGAAUCCAAUUCAAUAACAAGAAAGUCAAUGAGGGGGAAAAGAAGAUAAGAAUAAGGAACCAGAUGCAACGAUUAUGGUGUUCAAAAUCACUGAAAAAGAGGCAGAAAAACUGGGGAAAACCUAAGAAAGGUAAGCACACAAGCUUCUGAAAUCAGAGUGUCAAAAGAUUUGGAGAUGUCUUGAGUUCAGCAACAGAAACCCUAAUCUCACUUUCGUAACACCUAACAGAUCAGAAAAACAUUCAUCACAAUCCAAAAUUAACAGUAAUAUCCCACGCUAACCGUCCUUCCCUUACUCAAACAAAAGACCACGGUUAUACACAGAAAGCAUUCAUCGGCUGAGGCCAUAGUUGAAGUAAUUUCCACAGUCGAGACGAAAGGAUUAAAAAUUUUGAACCUGAGAUUUCUCACUCUUCGAGACAAAAUAAAUAUUAUCACUCUACUUUUUGGCAGUUAGUGUAAUGUUUUU